Molecule: ribosomal RNA, 476 nt
Filed under: uncultured organism
Description: partial 16S ribosomal RNA
Rfam family: Bacterial small subunit ribosomal RNA
Source: RNAcentral
UACACUCCUGCGGGAGGCAGCAGUGGGGAAUUUUGGACAAUGGGCGAAAGCCUGAUCCAGCAAUGCCGCGUGUGUGAAGAAGGCCUUCGGGUUGUAAAGCACUUUUGUCCGGAAAGAAAUCCUUGGCUCUAAUACAGUCGGGGGAUGACGGUACCGGAAGAAUAAGCACCGGCUAACUACGUGCCAGCAGCCGCGGUAAUACGUAGGGUGCGAGCGUUAAUCGGAAUUACUGGGCGUAAAGCGUGCGCAGGCGGUUUGCUAAGACCGAUGUGAAAUCCCCGGGCUCAACCUGGGAACUGCAUUGGUGACUGGCAGGCUAGAGUAUGGCAGAGGGGGGUAGAAUUCCACGUGUAGCAGUGAAAUGCGUAGAGAUGUGGAGGAAUACCGAUGGCGAAGGCAGCCCCCUGGGCCAAUACUGACGCUCAUGCACGAAAGCGUGGGGAGCAAACAGGAUUAGAAACCCGAGUAGUCCCAUG